This 1198-nucleotide long non-coding RNA is filed under the name Lathyrus oleraceus (garden pea). RNAcentral describes it as "Pisum sativum (pea) long non-coding RNA (PSAT_LNC029400)". The record is from RNAcentral. Lineage: Eukaryota; Viridiplantae; Streptophyta; Magnoliopsida; Fabales; Fabaceae.
UCAUGUGCCGUUUGUAGAAGAUUAGUGCAGGUAAUAUUCUCUAAAAUACCGGUUUUGGUUAAUUUGCUAGUAAAGGUUAUAAUGAGCAAUUAGGCCGGCUAGGUUCCUCAUUUCUGCAUGAGGGUCUAUUAAGCAUAGCUGUUGGGAAUAACUCAUAUUAGUGAUGAAUGGUUUCUUUUUCUGCUGAAACUUGUUAGCUGCCAAAUGUUGGGACCGUCACGAGAUAGCUUGGUGUUCAUUGCUAUUAUUGAUUAAGUAGUAAUUGGAACUUGUAAACCGGUUGCAAAAUGGUCCCGUGUGCAUUGAUUGGUUUACGCAAACCAGUCCUAUUAAGUGAGUACUGGUGACUGUUCAAUUUCUGCAUUGCAAUGAAUGAAAUUAUGCAGAUUGGUUAUUUUUUUUGAGCUGUUAGGUGCAGUUAGUUUACAACCAUUGGGAAUUGUUAAAACAACACUUGAACCUUGCCUUGCUAUAGAACCCAAUGCAAAUAUCAUCAUAUUGGUGUAAAGAUGUUUUAACACGGUUAACCUUAUUGAUCACGACAUUAUUCUCGUAGUUAGAAAAUGAGUUUCAAUUGUCAGCUUAAUGAUUGGUUUGGAUUUUCUUUGUUGCAUCCAUCCUGUUAAUUGUUUGGAAAUGUUAGGCUAGUGCAGAUUAUGUUAGGAGUUAAUAGAUUAAAUUAUUUGCUAGAUUUUGUAAUGUGUAACAUGAACUGAUGCUUGAAUUAUGCAGGAUCCUUGAUUUGAAAUGUGGGUUUGACGUGGAUGCUCUUUUGGCGCUGACUGAGUUUGCGGGUUAAUCCAUUUUUGAAUUUCCAUCACUCUGUUCAUGUUACAGGUGGUGUAUCAUGGAGCCAUGCUUGGACAUGUUUUGGAGUUCCUGAGCUGACGUGGAACGUUACGACACUUGUUGGUCAUGGUUGUCAUGUGAAGUUGCCGUCACAGACUUGUUUGUAUGUAUUGAUGCUUGGCGCAUUGUAUGUAAAUGGAUUUACAAUUUUUUCUUUAGAUUUUGGAUGUGCAACGGGAUUAAGGCAUUGUACUGUGACGUAUUUGCAAUGUUAGUCUGAAUGUUGGUUUUGUUAAAUGCUGCAUAUUGUGCACUUGGUUAUGUAUGAAAGUUUAUAAUUGCUUGUUAUAUACAUGGCAGAAUGAAUGCUUGAUAUGAAUACUUGUUAAAAGCUUAUUAUAUGCAUGUG